This 253-nucleotide ribosomal RNA is filed under the name uncultured bacterium. Its description in RNAcentral is "partial 16S ribosomal RNA". It matches the Rfam family "Bacterial small subunit ribosomal RNA", at positions 524 to 776 of the family's 1533-position model. The record is from RNAcentral.
UACGUAGGCAGCAAGCGUUGUUCGGAAUUACUGGGCGUAAAGAGUGUGUAGGUGGUGUCGUAAGUUUGGUGUGAAAUCUCCCGGCUUAACUGGGAGGGUGCGGUGGAAACUGGGGUGCUUGAGUGUGGGAGAGGUAAGCGGAAUUCCUGGUGUAGCGGUGAAAUGCGUAGAUAUCAGGAGGAACACCGGUGGUGUAGACGGCUUACUGGACCACGACUGACACUGAGGCACGAAAGCGUGGGUAGCAAACAGG